This 1639-nucleotide long non-coding RNA is filed under the name Eucalyptus grandis. RNAcentral describes it as "long non-coding RNA (EGRA_LNC006643)". Lineage: Eukaryota; Viridiplantae; Streptophyta; Magnoliopsida; Myrtales; Myrtaceae. The record is from RNAcentral.
GCAGCCCUCCAUCGGCCUCAACCAGCAGCUGCAGAAAAUGGGUAUGGCAGCGGGUGUUUGGCCCGUUUUGGCCGUCUUCCCGAGCCCGGAUGCUCGGCCCGCCUUGAGGAAAGUCGAUCCCCGCGUCGUCCUCAUCGUUUUGGUCCGCUCGGCUCGCUAAUCCGGUGAGUUUAUCUCACUAAACCUCGCUUAGAGGUUAAUUAUGCUCAUGGAGGUUUAGUUUAUGUUAAGUAUUAUUAGGUUGUUAGUUUAGGUUAUUUAAGAGUAGAUUAGAUUAAGGUGGUGUUUUAAUUUAAAGUGUGCUUAAUUAAGGGUAAGUAGGUUUAUUUAAAAUAAACCUUGAUUUGACAUAAAUGAAUUUACUUUUGAUUUAUUUAAAUGUCCCGAAAUUAUUAAAUAAUUUAAUAAUAUAUUAUUAUUCGAAAUUAUUAAAAUAUUAUUAUUUAAUUAUUUUCGGAAUAAAUUUAAUUAUUUAUUAAAUUCCGAAAAUUUUGGCAGAACCCUAAAUUCUCAGAAUUUCGUGCCGGUUGCUGCUGUGUAGUCAGUUUUUGAAAUUGAUGAUUGGAUAUUAUAAAUUGAGUGUGGAUCGUGAAAUAUACGGAUAUUAUUAUUUAAUUAAUUUUCGGAAUAAAUUUAAUUAUUUAAUAAAUUUUGAAAAUUAUUUUGGAACCUUAUUUUCUUAGAAUUCCGUGCUGAUCGCUGCUGUGCAUUUAGAAUUUGAAAUUGAUGAAUGGAUGUGGCAAAUUGAGUGUUGAUUGUGGUAAAUAAGGAUUUUAUUCAUAAAAACCAAAGUGUUGGGUUUUGAUGCAAAAAUUGGAUUUUAAUGAUUAUAUUAAAUAGUGGGGUUUGAAAAAGUGAGAUAUUGGCUUUUUGAUUUGAAAUUAGCGUGUCCCCACACACGUGAGUAAUUUUUGGAAUGUUUUUAAUAUGAAGAAAAAUGGCCGGGAUCACUAUUUUAAGUGGAAGCAUUGAGUGAAAUAUAAAGUGUCCUUGGGCCGAGUAUGCUUUGGCUGUGUGAUAACUAAGAGGAAUCGUCCUGGGCUGUUGAGCCGGACUUGCCCCUAUAUGGGAUGCCCACGCGGUGGAUGCGGGUCGCAGUUGAUUCUGGGCCCAUGCUCUUUCGGGAACGCCGUCGAUGUACUGACGAAACCGCGCUCCAAGGGGGGAGGCGAUGCCUGGCUAUAUGCCAGUAGAUAGCCGAACUGCGAGUAGGCUAUGCCCUUGUGUGGCAGUGAAUAACAAUUGGAAUACAUGUUCAGUGUUAUUGAUGUGUCGGAUUAUGGGACGGAAUUGUGUGGCAUGGAAUGGGACUUGUCAUAACGAUUUAGUCUUAUAAUCAGGACCCCCGCGGUUGUUGGUUAUAUGAAAGUGAAUAUGUUCCGGUUGUUUAAGUUCCUCUUACUAUCUGUGAGUGAGUGAUUUGAUUUGUGCUAACCUGUAGGAAGGAACUGAGGCAAGGUAAGUCUUCUGUAUGAUGUGGCUAGGCCACUCGGGGUGUAUUUUCUUUCUAAUAGGGGUUUAGGGGGUUGAACUUGCUGAGACAUCGUCUCAUCCCGGUUGUGGGAUUAAAAUUUCAGGUCCUUGGUGGACAGAGCGACCAUAUAGCUUUGGUUGGCAUUGAAGAGUUGCAAAGGUGAAG